RNAcentral lists this non-coding RNA (23 nucleotides) under Arabidopsis thaliana (thale cress). The record is from RNAcentral. Lineage: Eukaryota; Viridiplantae; Streptophyta; Magnoliopsida; Brassicales; Brassicaceae.
GGGCUCGGGGGUCCCAGUUCCGA